Molecule: ribosomal RNA, 1056 nt
Filed under: uncultured fungus
Lineage: Eukaryota; Fungi
Description: eukaryotic LSU rRNA
Rfam family: Eukaryotic large subunit ribosomal RNA (bases 470-1056)
Source: RNAcentral
AGGGAUCAUUACUGAGUUAUCUAACUCCCAAACCACUUGUGAACUUACCACUGUUGCCUCGGCGGCAGUCCUCUGUAGCAGGAGGCGGCCGCCGGUGGACUACUAAACUCUUGUUAAUUUUUGUCAAUUCUGAAUUAAAAACUUAAUAAGUUAAAACUUUCAACAACGGAUCUCUUGGUUCUGGCAUCGAUGAAGAACGCAGCGAAAUGCGAUAAGUAAUGUGAAUUGCAGAAUUCAGUGAAUCAUCGAAUCUUUGAACGCACAUUGCGCCCAUUAGUAUUCUAGUGGGCAUGCCUGUUCGAGCGUCAUUUCAACCCUUAAGCUUAGCUUAGUAUUGGGAAUCUGCUUAAACCGCAGUUCCUUAAAUCUAGUUGGCAGAGCACAUCUGUACUCUGAGCGUAGUAAUUCAUUAUCUCGCUUUCUGAAGACAGUUGUACGAUCGCCAUAAACCUAUUUAUUUUUUAAUGGUUGACCUCGGAUCAGGUAGGAAUACCCGCUGAACUUAAGCAUAUCAAUAAGCGGAGGAAAAGAAACCAACAGGGAUUGCCCUAGUAACGGCGAGUGAAGCGGCAACAGCUCAAAUUUGAAAUCUGGCCUUCUGGUCCGAAUUGUAAUUUGUAGAGGAUGUUUUUGGUUAGGUACCUUCCGAGUUCCUUGGAACAGGACGCCUUAGAGGGUGAGAGCCCCGUACGGUUGGAUGCCGAGCCUUUGUAAAACUCCUUCGACGAGUCGAGUAGUUUGGGAAUGCUGCUCUAAAUGGGAGGUAAAUUUCUUCUAAAGCUAAAUACCGGCCAGAGACCGAUAGCGCACAAGUAGAGUGAUCGAAAGAUGAAAAGCACUUUGAAAAGAGGGUUAAAUAGUACGUGAAAUUGUUGAAAGGGAAGGGCUUAUGACCAGACCUUUGCCUUGCGGAUCAUCCGGUGUUCUCACCGGUGCACUUCGCUUGGUUUAGGCCAGCAUCGAUUUUGGUAGGGGGAUAAAGACUUUAGUAAUGUGGCUCCUCCGGGAGUGUUAUAGACUAUUGUGUAAUACCUUUACUGGGAUCGAGGACCGCGC